GACGAACGCUGGCGGCGUGCUUAACACAUGCAAGUCGAACGGAAAGGCCCUGCUUUUGUGGGGUGCUCGAGUGGCGAACGGGUGAGUAACACGUGAGUAACCUGCCCUUGACUUUGGGAUAACUUCAGGAAACUGGGGCUAAUACCGGCUAGGAGCUCCUGCUGCAUGGUGGGGGUUGGAAAGUUUCGGCGGUUGGGGAUGGACUCGCGGCUUACCAGCUUGUUGGUGGGGUAGUGGCUUACCAAGGCUUUGACGGGUAGCCGGCCUGGGAGGGUGACCGGCCACAUUGGGACUGAGAUACGGCCCAGACGCCUACGGGAGGCAGCAGUGGGGAAUAUUGCACAAUGGGCGGAAGCCUGAUGCAGCAACGCCGCGUGCGGGAUGACGGCCUUCGGGGUGUAAACCGCUUUCGCCUGUGACGAAGCGUGAGUGACGGUAAUGGGUAAAGAAGCACCGGCUAACUACGUG
RNAcentral lists this ribosomal RNA (468 nucleotides) under uncultured bacterium. RNAcentral describes it as "partial 16S ribosomal RNA". It matches the Rfam family "Bacterial small subunit ribosomal RNA", at positions 28 to 507 of the family's 1533-position model. The record is from RNAcentral.